UACGGAGGGUGCAAGCGUUAUCCGGAUUCACUGGGUUUAAAGGGAGCGUAGGCGGGCAUGUAAGUCAGUGGUGAAAGCCCUCAGCUUAACUGAGGAACUGCCAUUGAUACUAUAUGUCUUGAAUGUCGUUGAGGUUUGCGGAAUAGGUCAUGUAGCGGUGAAAUGCUUAGAUAUGACAUAGAACACCCAUUGCGAAGGCAGCUUACUACGCAUAUAUUGACGCUGAGGCACGAAAGCGUGGGGAUCAAACAGGAUUAGAUACCCUGGUAGUCCACGCCCUAAACGAUGGAUACUCGACAUACGCGAUACACUGUGUGUGUCUGAGCGAAAGCAUUAAGUAUCCCACCUGGGAAGUACGUUCGCAAGAAUGAAACUCAAAGGAAUUGGCGGGGGUCCGCACAAGCGGUGGAGUAUGUGGUUUAAUUCGAUGAUACGCGAGGAACCUUACCUGGGCUAGAAUGCUGGGAGAUCGCUAGUGAAAGCUAGUUUUGUAGCAAUACACUGCCAGUAAGGUGCUGCAUGGCCGUCGUCAGCUCGUGCCGUGAGGUGUUGGGUUAAGUCCCGCAACGAGCGCAACCCCUAUCUUUAGUUGCCAACAGGUAAUGCUGGGAACUCUAAAGAAACUGCCGCCGUAAGGUGUGAGGAAGGAGGGGAUGAUGUCAGGUCAUCAUGGCCUUUAUGCCCAGGGCUACACCCGUACUACAAUGGGGAGGACAAAGGGCUGCAACAUAGCGAUAUGAAGCCAAUCCCAAAAACUUCCUCUCAGUUCAGAUUGCAGGCUGCAACUCGCCUGCAUGAAGCUGGAAUCGCUAGUAAUCGUAUAUCAGCAAUGAUACGGUGAAUACGUUCCCGGACCU
This 857-nucleotide ribosomal RNA is filed under the name uncultured bacterium. RNAcentral describes it as "SSU rRNA". It matches the Rfam family "Bacterial small subunit ribosomal RNA", at positions 524 to 1381 of the family's 1533-position model. The record is from RNAcentral.